AAUAAGUUCAUUUGUGGGUUUCUGUGUUUAACGUUUGAUCGUCCGUCUUAUUUAGUUUUUGUAUAUUUAGUAUUUGUAUUGUUAUUACAUGAUAAAAUAACAGUACUUUAUGCAUAAUUUAUUUUUAAAAUUUUAAGAAUAAGAUGGACAGUCAAAUGUGGGAUAUCGAAACCUACAAAUGAACUUAUU
This is a non-coding RNA of Oryza barthii, 189 nucleotides long. The record is from Rfam. Lineage: Eukaryota; Viridiplantae; Streptophyta; Magnoliopsida; Poales; Poaceae.